This 630-nucleotide ribosomal RNA is filed under the name Triticum aestivum (bread wheat). Its description in RNAcentral is "partial small subunit ribosomal RNA". The record is from RNAcentral. Lineage: Eukaryota; Viridiplantae; Streptophyta; Magnoliopsida; Poales; Poaceae.
GCGCGGCGAAGAAAUCUCAAACUCACAGACGCAGAAAAGAAAAGCAUCAAGAUAGGGAAGAAACAGUCUUGCUCCCUGGAGGUGAGUAAGCUUCAGGCUGUGGGUAAGCUCUUGUCUGAAAGACCAGCAAAAGCAGAGUAUUUAGGAAGAGUGUUAAGUGGUGCUUGGUGCCCUUUCUCUAGAGUGGAAUGCAAGGGUCUGGGUAGAAAUCACUUCCUGUUUCAGUUUCAUGAUGAUGUGAGCAAGAACAAAGCGAUAAGAGGUGGACCCUGGAUGUUUAACAAAGAUGUACUAGUGAUGGAAGAUUUUGUGCCAAGCAAAACUAUAUAUGACUAUGAACUUAAGUCGAUUCCUAUAUGGGUGAGAGCAUAUGGCAUACCAAUGGGAAUGAUGAGCACAGAAACAGGGGAACUAGUGGGUGAUCAAAUUGGUGAAUUUUUGGAUGUUGAUUUGGACGACAAUGGAAGUGCAAUGGGAGUAUUUGUGCGAAUCAAAGUGAAGAUGGACAUAACAGUCCCUAUUAUAAGGUUUAGAGCAUCUCCAACGGCCGCGCUAAACAAGCGCCGCGCCGCAAAUUUGGCCAGUUUAGCGCGCGCAACCCGGCGGGUGGCUCCAGCGGACGCGCAAUAA